CGUUUGGUUUAGUGGUCAACGACGUUCGUCCCGGAACCGCAAGGUCCUGGGUUCGAAUCCCGUUCGAUCC
RNAcentral lists this transfer RNA (70 nucleotides) under Rhodomonas abbreviata. Lineage: Eukaryota; Cryptophyceae; Pyrenomonadales; Pyrenomonadaceae. The record is from RNAcentral.